RNAcentral lists this ribosomal RNA (504 nucleotides) under uncultured bacterium. Its description in RNAcentral is "bacterial SSU rRNA". It matches the Rfam family "Bacterial small subunit ribosomal RNA", at positions 15 to 518 of the family's 1533-position model. The record is from RNAcentral.
GAUUCUGGCUCAGGACGAACGCUGGCGGCGUGCCUAAUACAUGCAAGUCGAACGGCUUUCUAUGGAAGCUUGCUUCCACUGAGAAGAUAGUGGCGAACGGGUGAGUAACACGUGGGUAACCUGCCCAUAAGAGGGGGAUAACAUCCGGAAACGGGUGCUAAUACCGCAUAGUUUUCUUGAUCGCAUGAUCGGGAAAGGAAAGACGGCCUUUGUGCUGUCGCUUAUGGAUGGACCCGCGGCGUAUUAGUUAGUUGGUGAGGUGACGGCUCACCAAGACGAUGAUACGUAGCCGACCUGAGAGGGUGAUCGGCCACAUUGGGACUGAGACACGGCCCAAACUCCUACGGGAGGCAGCAGUAGGGAAUCUUCCGCAGUGGACGAAAGUCUGACGGAAGCAACGCCGCGUGAGUGAAGACGGCCUUCGGGUUGUAAAGCUCUGUCUUCAGGGACGAUAAUGACGGUACCUGAGGAGGAAGCCACGGCUAACUACGUGCCAGCAGCAGC